RNAcentral lists this small nuclear RNA (18 nucleotides) under Arabidopsis thaliana (thale cress). RNAcentral describes it as "snRNA_09537". The record is from RNAcentral. Lineage: Eukaryota; Viridiplantae; Streptophyta; Magnoliopsida; Brassicales; Brassicaceae.
AAACAUUAUUGGAUCCAC